RNAcentral lists this ribosomal RNA (468 nucleotides) under uncultured bacterium. Its description in RNAcentral is "partial 16S ribosomal RNA". It matches the Rfam family "Bacterial small subunit ribosomal RNA", at positions 28 to 507 of the family's 1533-position model. The record is from RNAcentral.
GACGAACGCUGGCGGCGUGCUUAACACAUGCAAGUCGAACGGAAAGGCCCUGCUUUUGUGGGGUGCUCGAGUGGCGAACGGGUGAGUAACACGUGAGUAACCUGCCCUUGACUUUGGGAUAACUUCAGGAAACUGGGGCUAAUACCGGAUAGGAGCUCCUGCUGCAUGGUGGGGGUUGGAAAGUUUCGGCGGUUGGGGAUGGAUUCGCGGCUUAUCAGCUUGUUGGUGGGGUAGUGGAUUACCAAGGCUUUGACGGGUAGCCGGCCUGAGAGGGUGACCGGCCACAUUGGGACUGAGAUACGGCCCAGACUCCUACGGGAGGCAGCAGUGGGGAAUAUUGCACAAUGGGCGGAAGCCUGAUGCAGCAACGCCGCGUGCGGGAUGACGGCCUUCGGGUUGUAAACCGCUUUCGCCUGUGACGAAGCGUGAGUGACGGUAAUGGGUAAAGAAGCACCGGCUAACUACGUG